Molecule: long non-coding RNA, 1206 nt
Organism: Malus domestica (apple)
Lineage: Eukaryota; Viridiplantae; Streptophyta; Magnoliopsida; Rosales; Rosaceae
Source: RefSeq, a predicted model, not a curated record
UGCUUCAAUUCUAUUCGAUUCAAUUCAAUUGCUCUCACUCUAUCCCUCUCUAAACAAUUUUCUCUCUCAUCCUAUACCCUCCACCUCUCCCCCAAAAUUUAAUUAAGCAUUAAAGCAAAUCCAUCUUCCUCUCCCUCCCCUUCACUUCUCUUUGUGCGUGUAUAUAUAAUGGUGUUUCGAGGUCCAUACACCACCUCCCCAACGACCAUGUUUUUGUUCCCUCAUCUUUUCAUGGUUUUUGCCUAACCCCCCAAAUUUCUCCCAACCCAAGAACAAGUUACCCAAUAUUCCCAUCCUCCUCCUCCCUUUUCACAAGCCCUCUCGACAAUCCCCAAGCCAAAGCCAUGAGUAGACGGAACGGAGGCGGUCCGAAGCUUGACCUGAAGCUAAACCUGUCACCACCGAGGGCUAAUCAUCAGCUGGCGGAGUCACCACGAAGAUCAGCGACUGUUUCACCUACGUCACCGCCGAGCUCAUGCGUGUCAUCGGAGCUGAAUCAAGACGACAAUUUUAGCCCAGAGACCAUUUCCAUGGUGCUAGUCGGGUGCCCUAGGUGCCUCAUGUAUGUGAUGCUCUCGGAGGACGACCCCAAAUGCCCUAAAUGCAAGAGCACUGUUUUGCUAGACUUUCUUCAUGACACCACUACCACCACACCAACCUCAAAGACAAGGAAGAGCUAAAAAAAAAGCUAAAAGCUAGAGUAGUCUAUCCGUUCAUUUCUUAUUUCUUUUUUUGGGUUUUUUUUUUUUUUUCCAAUUUUACUAGGACUUCAUGUUAGGCUCUGUUUAUUUCCAACCCUUUUUUUUUUCUCCUUCCUGGAGGCAGCGCUAUUGGCGCUCCAUAUAGCUACAUUUUUUUCGUUAUUAAAAAUAGCGGAAAAUAUUUGACCUAGACAAUGAUCAAUUCAUCCUUAAUUGGCUGGUUGAACCUUGUUAACUAGGUAUCUGAAAAUGAGUGGAGCGCGAAUAUCACUACCUAUGUUGUUUUAUCUUUUUUUAUUGACCUUGCUAAUCUUAGAAAUUAGGUUAUGGAUGAUGGGCAAUUGGGCUUGCACUAUGGGGUUUGGUAGGUGGGAUGAAAGGUGUUUGUUUCUGCCUUUGUUAACCCUUUAGCUGAAAGUCAAUGAUGUAAAACGGUUAACUGUAACUGCCCAACAUUUUCAUCUGAGAAAAAAAAAAGUUGGAUCAUAUUUUGUUAUUUUGCUAU